GUGGGGAAUCUUCCGCAAUGGACGAAAGUCUGACGGAGCGACGCCGCGUGAGUGAAGAAGGCCUUCGGGUCGUAAAGCUCUGUCAUCAGGGACGAACGGCCGGUGGAGUGGAAAGCCACCGGAUUGACGGUACCUGAGAAGGAAGCCACGGCUAACUACGUGCCAGCAGCCGCGGUAAUACGUAGGUGGCAAGCGUUGUCCGGAAUUAUUGGGCGUAAAGCGCGCGCAGGUGGGAUCUUAAGUCCAUUUUUAAAGUUCGGAGCUCAACUCCGUGAUGGGAUGGAAACUGGGAUUCUUGAGUACCGGAGAGGAAAGCGGAAUUCCCCGCGUAGCGGUGAAAUGCGUAGAUAUGGGGAGGAACACCAGUGGCGAAGGCGGCUUUCUGGACGGUGUCUGACACUGAGGCGCGAAAGCCAGGGGAGCGAACGGGAUUAGAUACCCUAGUAGUCC
This 450-nucleotide ribosomal RNA is filed under the name uncultured bacterium. RNAcentral's name for it is "partial 16S ribosomal RNA". It matches the Rfam family "Bacterial small subunit ribosomal RNA", at positions 354 to 796 of the family's 1533-position model. The record is from RNAcentral.